This 21-nucleotide microRNA is filed under the name Schmidtea mediterranea. Its description in RNAcentral is "sme-miR-2147d-3p". Lineage: Eukaryota; Metazoa; Platyhelminthes; Tricladida; Dugesiidae. The record is from miRBase by way of RNAcentral.
UUUCACUGCGACUGUUCCCAU